UGUUUCUGUUUUGUGGUCGAUUCUGGGAUCCUUUUCUUGGUGUGUCUUGAUGUUUUCUAUUGGCUAAAGACAUGUCUCUGUGAAACUGACAAUCUCAGGUAGGAGCUGCUGGUUUGUGGUUGGCAGUAUGGAUCACAGUCUGCGACUCAUGAGGAGCUGGGCUGGAGACAUGAAGAGGUUGUUAACAGGCCAUCCAUCCAAGAUCAUCUAUCUGAGCUGCUGAAAACUGCCUCGGUACGGAUCUGUUGGAGCUUUGUGUCACUGACUGUAUUUCUGCAAAUUCCUGUUCCGUGUCAAAUGGCUUAUGCAAGACUGAAUCCAUAAAGGGGGUGGUCUGUGGAGACUGUGGGCGAUUCCUUCUGCUGUCAUUUAAACAUGAGCAGGAGUAAUGACGGGAUUUAAAUGGACGAAGCUAAUAUUAUGCCAGAGUCCGCUGCUUAUGCUGUAACCAUAAAGCAACCAGGACAACACACCUGGAGUGACCGAGAGCAGGAUGAAGAAAGAAUCGGACGAGAAAAUAUCAACUGGUGCCCAUGAGGAGAUAUAUUGUUCUUGGACCUGCUUUUUCUGUUUAGUAAUAAGUGGUUUUAUGUGGUUACAUAAAAGUAAUUUAAUAUUCAAUCCACAAGCUAAAUUUCCUACAUUUUCUUAAAAGGGUAGUUGACCCAAAAAGGAAAAUUCUGUCAUUUACACAAACAGUUUGGUUACAAACAUUUCUCACAAUAUCUGCCUUCCUGUUUAUCAGAACAAAGAAAUGUAUGCGGGUUUGUAACAACAUGAGAGUGUGUAAAUGACAUAAUUUUCAUUUUUGGGUGAAGUACCCCUUUAACAUUUUUAUACACAGGGGUAGGGGUGUGCAGCGGAGUCAGUAUUUGUAUCUGUAACAGUCUCAAAAUUAUUUGUAUCUGUAUUUGUAUUCGGAUUAAACCGGAAGUGGGUGGGUUGACAACUCAUAUUACAUUAAAAUGGCAUUUUAAAUGCAUUUUUGCUUUUUAUUAUAAUUAUACCUUAAAUAACUGUAAAUAUUUAUUCAAAAUAAUAAUACAAAAUUUUAAUCAAAAAGACAAAUAACUUGAUUCUCGUUAGUAAUACUCAUGGAAAGCAAACAACUCAUUUUUAAAGCCUCAUACAGCUUGUGCUAUGCAUCAUUGUAUUGUAGCAUUAAAAUAACAAACUUGAAAGCACGUUGACAAAACUGUAGGCUAGAUCACCUUUAAAUGUUUAUUGUGCCUGUCAGCACAGUUCCAUGAGACCCAUUCUUUCUAAAUGAGUGCGAUGUUUUCAGAAAAAAAUAAGUAGCCUACAUUAAUCCCUAGUCUAGCGAUUUAAAUAUAGUAAUUAAACAUCUAAAAUUAUCGUUAUUUGUAAGUUUUCUAAAAGAGGGAAAUAUAACCUAAUACUACUCAUAUCCAUGUCUGACAUCUUGGUUUCAGUUUAAAAACAUGCAGGAAUUUGAAAAUAAAAUGCAGGACUUGCUUGAUGCUUAAAGAGUUAUUAAGGGAGAUAAAGUUCGGGAACUGAUUUAUGUUAAAAAGUUAUUAAGAUCGACAAACUCGCGCUGACUGACAGAUCCGAAAUGCAACGCAGGGACACGCAAGUGGCGCAGUAUAUGCACAGAAUAGUUCAAAAACAUCUGUUUUGAUAAGAAUUUACGAAAGCAUAAUAAGCAUUAGAACAAACUUGCUGAGCUCAUUUUUAUCUAUGUCCAUAUAGCGUUUGCGCGAAUAUAACGAAUUGUUUAAAAAAAACUUUCUUAUU
Paramisgurnus dabryanus is the source of this 1758-nucleotide non-coding RNA. The record is from RefSeq and is a predicted model, not a curated record. NCBI's taxonomy places the organism in Eukaryota, Metazoa, Chordata, Actinopteri, Cypriniformes, Cobitidae.